CAUGCAGUCGAGCGGAGAUGAGGUGCUUGCACCUUAUCUUAGCGGCGGACGGGUGAGUAAUGCUUAGGAAUCUGCCUAUUAGUGGGGGACAACAUUCCGAAAGGAAUGCUAAUACCGCAUACGCCCUACGGGGGAAAGCAGGGGAUCUUCGGACCUUGCGCUAAUAGAUGAGCCUAAGUCGGAUUAGCUAGUUGGUGGGGUAAAGGCCUACCAAGGCGACGAUCUGUAGCGGGUCUGAGAGGAUGAUCCGCCACACUGGGACUGAGACACGGCCCAGACUCCUACGGGAGGCAGCAGUGGGGAAUAUUGGACAAUGGGCGGAAGCCUGAUCCAGCCAUGCCGCGUGUGUGAAGAAGGCCUUUUGGUUGUAAAGCACUUUAAGCGAGGAGGAGGCUACUUAGAUUAAUACUCUAGGAUAGUGGACGUUACUCGCAGAAUAAGCACCGGCUAACUCUGUGCCAGCAGCCGCGGUAAUACAGAGGGUGCGAGCGUUAAUCGGAUUUACUGGGCGUAAAGCGUGCGUAGGCGGCUGAUUAAGUCGGAUGUGAAAUCCCUGAGCUUAACUUAGGAAUUGCAUUCGAUACUGGUCAGCUAGAGUAUGGGAGAGGAUGGUAGAAUUCCAGGUGUAGCGGUGAAAUGCGUAGAGAUCUGGAGGAAUACCGAUGGCGAAGCAGCCAUCUUGGCCUAAUACUGACGCUGAGGUACGAAAG
This 710-nucleotide ribosomal RNA is filed under the name Acinetobacter sp. Its description in RNAcentral is "bacterial SSU rRNA". It matches the Rfam family "Bacterial small subunit ribosomal RNA", at positions 54 to 759 of the family's 1533-position model. The record is from RNAcentral. Lineage: Bacteria; Pseudomonadati; Pseudomonadota; Gammaproteobacteria; Moraxellales; Moraxellaceae.